This 27-nucleotide non-coding RNA is filed under the name Rattus norvegicus (Norway rat). Lineage: Eukaryota; Metazoa; Chordata; Mammalia; Rodentia; Muridae. The record is from RNAcentral.
UUCAUGGUGGAGCAAUCUCAAGGCAGG